This 505-nucleotide ribosomal RNA is filed under the name uncultured bacterium. RNAcentral describes it as "partial 16S ribosomal RNA". It matches the Rfam family "Bacterial small subunit ribosomal RNA", at positions 30 to 523 of the family's 1533-position model. The record is from RNAcentral.
AUUGAACGCUGGCGGCAGGCCUAACACAUGCAAGUCGAACGGUAACAGGAAACAGCUUGCUGUUUCGCUGACGAGUGGCGGACGGGUGAGUAAUGUCUGGGAAACUGCCUGAUGGAGGGGGAUAACUACUGGAAACGGUAGCUAAUACCGCAUAACGUCGCAAGACCAAAGAGGGGGACCUUCGGGCCUCUUGCCAUCGGAUGUGCCCAGAUGGGAUUAGCUAGUAGGUGGGGUAACGGCUCACCUAGGCGACGAUCCCUAGCUGGUCUGAGAGGAUGACCAGCCACACUGGAACUGAGACACGGUCCAGACUCCUACGGGAGGCAGCAGUGGGGAAUAUUGCACAAUGGGCGCAAGCCUGAUGCGGCCAUGCCGCGUGUAUGAAAAAGGCCUUCGGGUUGUAAAGUACUUUCAGCGGGGAGGAAGGGAGUAAAGUUAACACCUUUGCUCAUUGACGUACCCGCAGAAGAAGCACCGGCUAACUCCGUGCCAGCCGCCGCCGUAA